ACAUAUGCCGCUCUCAACUGAACCAUUUUGCUCAAGUAUUGUGCCAUAUUAAAAGUUGUUUUCAAAUUCUGGCUGCACAUAAGACAUUACGGUUGAAUCUCUCUUCAUUUAAUCUCUACGAUACCAACCAGUAGAUACCAAUUCAUAGAGAUUAGAUGUGGCUGAGACAGAAUGAUUGACCCAAAGUCAUCAUUUUCCAGUUUUCAUGACUGAGCCAUUGUCAUGUGGGAGAAUUCACUGGAGAAAGCAAUUAUGGUUGGAAAGCAGUAAAAGGAAUCUAGGCUGCCAAAAAACAUGGUGGCUGGACACCCUCAAAGCUGUUAUCACCCAGAGCAUAGAACAACUCAAAGAAGUAGUGCAAGAUCAGAAGAUGUGGAGAGACCUGCCCCAUAGAAUCGCCAAGAGCCAGACAUGACUGAAUUGGUAUCAUCAUCAUCAUCAUCAUCAUCAUCAUCAUCAUCAUCAUCAUUAUCAUCUAUAUGACUGUCCAUCUUUCAAACAACUCUGGGCGGCUCCCAAUAAAAUCAUUUCAACUA
Non-coding RNA from Pantherophis guttatus, 536 nucleotides. Lineage: Eukaryota; Metazoa; Chordata; Lepidosauria; Squamata; Colubridae. The record is from RefSeq and is a predicted model, not a curated record.